RNAcentral lists this ribosomal RNA (405 nucleotides) under uncultured Methylobacterium sp. Its description in RNAcentral is "bacterial SSU rRNA". It matches the Rfam family "Bacterial small subunit ribosomal RNA", at positions 976 to 1382 of the family's 1533-position model. The record is from RNAcentral. Lineage: Bacteria; Pseudomonadati; Pseudomonadota; Alphaproteobacteria; Hyphomicrobiales; Methylobacteriaceae.
AUCCUUUGACAUGGCGUGUUACCCAGAGAGAUUUGGGGUCCACUUCGGUGGCGCGCACACAGGUGCUGCAUGGCUGUCGUCAGCUCGUGUCGUGAGAUGUUGGGUUAAGUCCCGCAACGAGCGCAACCCACGUCCUUAGUUGCCAUCAUUCAGUUGGGCACUCUAGGGAGACUGCCGGUGAUAAGCCGCGAGGAAGGUGUGGAUGACGUCAAGUCCUCAUGGCCCUUACGGGAUGGGCUACACACGUGCUACAAUGGCGGUGACAGUGGGACGCGAAAGAGCGAUCUGGAGCAAAUCCCCAAAAGCCGUCUCAGUUCGGAUUGCACUCUGCAACUCGAGUGCAUGAAGGCGGAAUCGCUAGUAAUCGUGGAUCAGCAUGCCACGGUGAAUACGUUCCCGGGCCUU